AUGGAUCCGGUGUCGGUAGCUGCAGUGGGAUGGGCCAUAUCCACCGCAGGGUGGAUCAUCUCCCCCAUCGUCGCCAAGCUCGUGAACAGCGUCUGCCCCCGCAUAACCUUGAACGUGCCGAAGAAGAUCCGCGACCUGGAGACCUGCACUCUCCCUCGGCUGGCGCUCACUCUGGGAGCACUGGAGAUCAGCCAGAGGCAUGAGCUGGAGAAACUGGUGAAGGAGCUCAAGUCGGCUUUCUAUCAGGUGGAAGACAUCCUGGAUGAUGCGGAGUACUGUCGUCUGGAGAAACAACUAGCCCGCUCCAAGAAACGCAAGUUCCCCUUGGAUUUUAAUGAUGCUGAUGGUACCAAGUUAACGGCAGGAUAUUCAAGAUGCCGUUUGAAGGAUAAACUAGAUAAGAUAGAGAAACUAAUUGAGAAAGCACAGGACAUUAUUAAGUUAGCUAACCUGCCAGGCAAUAAUAAUGAAAGUGGCGAUCAUAGACGAUACGUUGGUGUCACUGCCAAACAUACAUCGAAGCCCACCGCUGCAUAUCUGCCACGCAAGGUAAUCGGUCGAGACAAGGAUCGUGAGGAAAUAAUAAGUAUGCUUCGUGAUGAAAACCAGUCAAGUGCUGAUAGAUGUUUUUCCGUUAUUGGCAUUCACGGCAUCCCUGGGUCUGGGAAGACAACUCUUGCACAGUAUGUUUGCGAGUACGAGGAGGAAGCCAACCACUUCGACAUUGUGAUGUGGAUUCAUGUCUCCCAGAAUUUUGGCCUGGACACCAUCUUGAGGGAGAUGAUUGAACAGGCUACAAAGCAACCAUGCCCUCAGUUCAAAAGUCUUACUGCUUUACAGAAAAGAUUGAAACAAGACCUGCGCGAAAAGCGUUUCCUGUUGGUACUAGAUGAUGUCGAGCAUAAUAAGGAUAUAAGCGAGGAUGAUCUUUCUGCAUUGGAAGUUGGGGGAGCAGGAAGCAAGAUUCUAGCAACCAGUCGAACUAGAGAUGCUUUAUUGGCUUUGGGUGCUGUGAGAUCGAAAUGCAUUCCAAUAUCUAAGUUAGAUGAGCAUGUCUUCCGAGAAUUGUUCUUGCAAUAUGCACUUGACGGUGCAGAGAUAUGUGAGCGAGAUCGAAUAGUACUGCAGAUGAUUGGGGCUGACAUUGCAAAGAAACUGAAGGGAUCACCUCUGGCAGCAAGAACAGUGGGAGGACAAUUGCGUAUAAGGCAAGAUGUUGAGUUUUGGAGGAGUGUACGAGAUAAGGAUUUUUUCAGUGACGCAAUGGAAGCUCUGCGGUGGAGCUACCAGCUUCUUGAUGAGAAAGUUAGACGAUGCUUUGCUUACUGCAGUAUUUUUCCCAGAGGGCAUCAUUUGGGACGCAGUAAGUUAAUUAACUUGUGGGCAGCAGAAGGGUUCAUAAGCAGAGAGGAAGUUGGAGGAGAUUACUUCCACAAAUUAGUGGCGACCUCGUUUCUGCAGCUCGAACGAAAGGACUCGUCGGGCGAGGAGUACUAUUUACUUCAUGAUCUGCUGCAGGAUUUAGCAGAGACGGUCGGACGUAGUGAUUGCUGCAGAAUUGAGGGUGGCUGCACAGGACAAGUUCCUCGAGACGAUGUUCGCCAUUUGUAUAUUAAGGCUUGUAAUGGAGCAACAGUUGCUGGCAAUAAAGCUUUCGAGAAAAUGAUUACCGAAAAUAUUGUCAAACUGAAGGAGCUGCGCACUCUGAUCAUUGACGGAGGGGAGACAGGAAUUGAGGCAAAGGUGUUCGAUGAUAUCUUCGACAGCUUGAAGUCUCUACGAGUACUGAUUGUAGAGACACAGAGUAGAAGAAUAUUGCAAAUCCCAGAAUCUAUUGGUUACUUAAAGUAUCUACGAUAUCUUUCUAUCGAGUAUAGAUGCCGUAUAUUUUUUCCGCGCACGGUUACAAAGCUUUACCACUUGCGGGUGCUUGAUUUUGGUGAAUAUGGAAUGUUGGAACGUAGUUGCUCCCCUGAAAAUAUGAGUAACCUUGUGAACUUGCAGAGAGUGGUAGGCCGUUCACUUGGGGAUUUUCCAAACAUAGGCAGGCUGACAUUGCUCCGAACAUUACCAACCUUCAGGGUGAAAAGGGACCUCCUGGGUUACGACAUUAAGCAGCUGAAGCACCUAAACAAGCUCCAGGGAAAAUUGGUGAUCAGUGGUCUCCAACAUGUUCGCAGCGAGGAGGAAGCCGUUGAAGCGAAGUUAGCUGAGAAGGAGCACCUCAAACAACUGACACUGGCCUGGGACGAUGAUAACACAAGCAGUAACCACGAUCCAGCAGUACUCGAGUGUCUAUGCCCGCCAAUGGGGCUUCAAGUCCUGGAAAUCAUAGGCUACCGUGGUUCAUACCCUGGCUGGAUGGUGGGUAAGCAUAGUGGUCAACUGUACCUUCAGAAACUUGAGCUCCGCCAAUGCAGCCCACUGGGACCUGCUCCUAGACUUUUUGAGUGCUUCGUUCAUCUGGAAUCGCUCUGUCUCUCUCACUUAAGCUGGCACACCUUGCCAGAUAACAUGGAGCAAGUCAGGACUCUCAAAGUUCUGAUGAUCUCCCACUGCAAGAAUAUGAAGGUGCUGCCAACACUGCCGCAGUCUCUUUCGCGUUUUAAACUCUCAAACUGCGGGCACGAGUUCACAAGACGAGGCAUCAUGGCGCAAUGGCGUUGCAUCAGCAGGGCUUUAGGCAUCAAUGGGAAGACGAUGAAGGGAAUGUUGAGCAAGGUGGCAGUUCAGACCUUAAGCCAAACUGCAGGCUGGGCCGGAUGUAUGUGUGUUAUGAUUCCUUGGUGUAUUUUCAUUCUGUCCUUUUUUUAUCAAAAACUAGGAAGGUAGCCCGCGCCUU
This 2842-nucleotide long non-coding RNA is filed under the name Oryza sativa Indica Group (long-grained rice). Its description in RNAcentral is "lncRNA OsZS97_04G008520". Lineage: Eukaryota; Viridiplantae; Streptophyta; Magnoliopsida; Poales; Poaceae. The record is from RNAcentral.